GCGUUCGUAGCUCAAUUGGCAGAGCAGCUGACUCUUAAUCAGCGGGUUGGAGGUUCGAUUCCUCCCGAGCGCACCA
RNAcentral lists this transfer RNA (76 nucleotides) under Chlorobaculum sp. Its description in RNAcentral is "tRNA-Lys". It matches the Rfam family "tRNA". Rfam says of the family: Transfer RNA (tRNA) molecules are approximately 80 nucleotides in length. Their secondary structure includes four short double-helical elements and three loops (D, anti-codon, and T loops). RNAcentral also lists the same sequence under 2 other names. The record is from RNAcentral. Lineage: Bacteria; Pseudomonadati; Chlorobiota; Chlorobiia; Chlorobiales; Chlorobiaceae.